UCGAGUAUGAGGAGUUUUCGUUGCCUGUCUGAUGUUAUUGAUGUUAUUCGGAUUUUAUGAUUUUAUGUGAACUUAAGAAUAGUGUUUGAAUUUUCGUCGUUGUUGUUUAGAUUGUGAAAGAUAAUCAUCCAAAACAUUCAUGUCUCAUUCGUUUGGCGCGAACUCAUGGUCAUGGACAUACGGUGAUCGUUAAAUCCACUUGUUUUGCUAACUAAGCAAUGUUGAGUCGCAUUGAAAGUUUAUGUGAUUCUCGUAGGAAUAGUGAAAAUCGUAAUGGUACACUAACCACAUUAUAUGGACAGGUCUACAAUUUUCUAUAAGCUGACUAAUCCACAGAAGAUAUUAUUUUGUUACUUGGAGUAACCUAAAAUAAUUAUUGUGUCGUUUUCAAUGAGCGUUGAGAUGUGCGCUGGGAAUUAGUGUGAGGAUCCAUUAACUCCUUUUCAAUCAAGGAAAAUGAAGUUGUGUCUGCAGAAAUUAUCAGGACAGGUGCAAUAAAACUCAAAAGGUCAAAGUUUGUUUGUGUUUGUGGAGAGAAGGAGAUUGUUUAAAGCAAAUCAAGCUGUGUACAGUGUCACAAGGUGUACAAAAGGUAGAUGUCAAUGUUGAUCGUACUUCAAGUCUAUGGAUAGAUAGGGCAUAUUGAGAAUCAAACAUGUUUGCUGGUUGUUUGGUUUGUAGAAAGGUUCCCAAGUGCAAACCAUGUGUAUCGGAGUGUGUGUAGCCUGUGGGUCUUGCCUUCUCUCAUCGUUUAGUGUGACUGUAAGUACAUAAAUGCCGUUUUGAAUAAAUAGAUGAAACAAACAUCUGUUUUCCUCGUUGUUAGAGCUGAGAACUCUUGAUGUCAUUGUGCUUGUGAAAGGAAAAUUAUUCUUGACUUUAUCGCUGCAAUAAACUACUUGUCAAAUUA
Frankliniella occidentalis (western flower thrips) is the source of this 910-nucleotide long non-coding RNA. RefSeq lists it as uncharacterized. The transcript is spliced from 4 exons. NCBI's taxonomy places the organism in Eukaryota, Metazoa, Arthropoda, Insecta, Thysanoptera, Thripidae. The record is from RefSeq and is a predicted model, not a curated record.